This is a non-coding RNA of Podarcis lilfordi (Lilford's wall lizard), 4897 nucleotides long. Lineage: Eukaryota; Metazoa; Chordata; Lepidosauria; Squamata; Lacertidae. The record is from the annotation of a GenBank genome assembly.
GCUCACUGCUUGGGUCAGCCACUGUUUCUCAACUCGGAAGGUGGUUGUGGGGAUUUAAUGAGGAGGGGGAGAACCAUGAGCUCCUUGGCGGGGAAAGGGUGGAAUAUGAAUUCAGUAGAUGAUAGAUGAUAGAUAGAUAGAUAGCCUUUGACCCUCCAGGCUGAACUACAACUCUCAUCAGUCCCAGAAAGCAUGGUCAAUGGUCAGGGAUGGUGGGAGUUGCAGUUUAGCAAUAUCUGGAGCACCAAAGUUUCCCCAGUGCCAAGUCUCCCCCUCUAGGCUGUUAACCUCAUAUAUGAAAACAUUUUAGGACUAUAUGGUGCCUUUAUAUGUUCCCCUUUGCAGCUAAUAGCAGCUGGUGGAAUGCAGCAGGGAAGGGUGGGGGACAAAUUUAAUUUGGUUCACAUUUACAUUUUUUUUUCUGUUGUGAACCAGCCUAGGAUCUUUGGAUGAAGGGUUGUAUAUAAACUUAAUAAAUAAUAAUAAAUAAACAAUUUACAGGCAAGCCUGCUUAAUUUGCGCCAGCCAAAAGAAUUCAGAAACCAAAACAGAAGCCAUUUUUCAAAAUAUUGCACUUCUCCAAAUUUUGGAAGGCAGUUCUCCGGACAAGCCACAUGUCCAAAAAUGCAUGCCCUGGAUUGAAAUGUGUAUUAAAAGACAUCUGUUAGUAAAAACAGCACACAAAAUGUGUUAGGAUAAGGAAAAUCACUCUGAAAAAAUGUGGAUAUUCGGAGAAAUUCACACUAAGGUGCUUCAUGGAACGUUUAAAAACAACCCCAUAUAUUCAGAAAGUGAUUGAAAAUGUGGAUAAAUGAGGAACUGAAAGGAAACAAGGUGACAGAUCUGCCCAUCGCUAGCAGGGAGACAUUUGGAUCAGGGCUGCAGAGAGGGAAGGAAGGCUUGAGCCACAAAUACUCUGUGGUCCUGAUACCUGGAUGUGUGGGAAUGUGGGCUGGGGUUGAUGGCAGCUGGAGUCCAAGGAGAGCAAUAGCUUCCUCAAGGCCUGUUCUGUCAUGCCGGUAAUUCAUAGGUAUGUAUGUACAAGGAUGGGGAACCUGAGGACCUUCCAUCAGAUGUUGGCCACCACCACCAUUUGCCUCAGCCCAGAUGGCAAAAGGUCAAGGAUGAUGGGAGUUGUAGUCUAGCAACACCUGGAGAUCCACAGGGUCUCCUAGCCUGGUUGUAGACUGACCAUCGCUGGAAGGUAAGAAGUUCUCCAUCUGCACAGAAUAGGCACUAGCAUAGGGUACAUGUACCCAGAUCUCAUUUUGCAGAGAGUUCCUAUUUUUUGUGUGCUGGAAGUAAAUUACUGUGACUUGGCUGCGGUUGUGAAAACGUCCCACUUGCAGGUCUGUCCCCCCAGAAACACAAAGGUGCCUAUCAGUCUCCUUGCAGCACCUUCCUCAUCGCCAAGCUGACUGAUUUUCCCUCUUCUUCUUCUUCUUCUUCUUCUUCUUCUUCUUCUUCUUCUUCUUCUUCUUCCCCUUGCCGCCCUCCCUUGGGCAGCCUCCAAUCAGAGCAAUUGCCCAUCACGGCGCUGCUAUUCAUUUAGCUUUCAUCACGGCUCCCAUUUAAAAGCAACAAAAAUGAUUGACGAGCCAGGAGGGAGUCAGCCAUCAAGACAGAUUAGCAGGGCUAAAUACCAAAAGCUCAUCUCUGGGAGGCUGAGGAGAGGCAAGGGAAGGAAGUCAAACUAUAUAGGUGAAUAUUGGUGGGGAGAGCGAACGGGGGACGUAUGGUGUUGCCCAGCCAUGUGUUAUUAUGCCGGUGGGUUCAACACACCCUCUGCUACCUGUCACUGCUGAAGAAAGAGAAUCCUUGCAAAAGAGAGCUAAGGAACAAAGGGGAACCUGCAGACUGGGGUGUGUGUGUGUUUGUUUGGCAGCUGUCAUUGAUGCAACACAAGUGCAACCAUGGUUGAUUUAUACUGGACCACUAGCACAUCAUUUCACUUUGUUAGUUGUUUUGUGAUGCUUCUCCAGGUUAUCCCAUUAUUGCCAUCUGGAGCAGCACCCUUGAGCUUUGUUACCUUGCGUUAAUAAUAAAACUAAUAAAUUUUAUUUAUAUCCCGCCCUCCCCAGCCAAGACCGGGCUCAGGGCGGCUGACACCAGGUAUAAAACAAUUGAUUAAAAUACAACUUAAAAACAAGAUUAAAAUACAACAUUAAAAUGCAGCCUGAUUUCAGUAGAAACUCAAAUCAAAAACUUUUUGGGGAUGAAAACGUCAAAUCUUCACCAUGGCCAACUAUCCAUGGUCCUACAUGGGCCAGAAAAAAGCCAAGGAAGUCCCCAUACAGUGGUACCUUGGGUUAAGUACUUAAUUCGUUCCGGAGGUCCGUACUUAACCUGAAACUGUUCUUAACCUGAAGCACCACUUUAGCUAAUGGGGCCUCCUGCUGCUACCGCGCCGCCGGAGCACGAUUUCUAUUCUCAUCCUGAAGCAAAGUUCUUAACCUGAAGCACUAUUUCUGGGUUAGCGGAGUCUGUAACCUGAAGCAUAUGUAACCUGAAGCGUAUGUAACCCGAGGUACCACUGUAUAGGAGUUCCAUCACAGAAGGAGAAAGAAAAAAGGAUAGAGGGGAAGGGGAUCAAGUUGAUUCCAAGCCAAAGGCCAGGCGCAACAACUCUGAGGAAAGGUCCUGAGGAAAGAAAUCAGAUCCCGCAAAAGCAGUUACAAAAGCAAGACCUCAGAAAACCAAAUCCUGGAGCAUAAGCUGUGAUUCUUGCAUUACAGGGGGGUUGGACUAGAUGAUGAUUGGGGUUCCUUCCAGCCCUGCAACAGUAUGAUCUGUGGGUCACAUCAGUCCAUGGUGAGAUUUGCAGAGGUUGAGUUCCUCAAGCAUUCUGACUUCUCAGGCCUGUUGGUUGGGGCCAGACUGGCUUCCCCCUUGCAUCCUAAGAGGGAUGGCUCCAUGACAACCCCAUGGCCCUUCAUCUUAUGGGUGAUGGAUGGUGCUCAGCGCGCACUCCCCUUCAAUUCUCAUUGCCAGUUCUCACUGUGCAGAAGCAAAAAAUAUCCAGUGGACCUGCUGCUGGAUCUCUUGUUUCCUCCUUCCUCACCUGUAAACUUGUUUCAUGUGCUCUGUUGCAGGCAUGAAGCCAGCUGCACCAAGUCAACAAAACUUCACAGCAAAAAAAAUGCCACCAUCUGGCCUUCAGAGUACCAUCCUCAAAAACAAACUUAAUUAGCCCAUAAGUGGAAAUGCUAUAUCUGUCCCUUUAAUACCUGUUUGGGGGGCUGUCUCCUUUCCCUAUCCAGAUUGUGUCUCCGUCACCCUACCUUAGUAACCCUUCUGUAGAGGAAAAACUCAUUAAAAUCAUUCCGUUUUGCUGUUCAGAAACAAAUAAGAAUUCUCUCUAAUGCCGGCACAAAGGGGGUUGCAUUACUAAGAAAAUUAAAACUGUGUUAAUAUAUAACGCAGUUUUAAUUUUCUUACUAAUGCAGCCCCCUUUGUUCUGGCCAUAAGGGGAAUUCUUGCUUGUUUAUGGAGAGCAACAAUAUGAAACCUCAUCAGCAAGCUUAUUUGAUCUGCCACUUUGGUAUUACACAAUGAGCUGGAGGGUUGUGGGUUUGUAUUUUAUGUUCUCUUAUUGUGUCUGAAGUUUUUUGGUUUUUUUAACAAUGCCAAUUUUCUUCCUAAACAGAAUAAUUCAUAUGAAUUAUUCCGUUUAGGAAGAAAUUAGCAUUGUUAACAAUUGCAGGCCAGAAAGGGGGAGAACCUCCAAGCUCAUUGUGCAAAAUGAAAGUGAAGCAUAUGAAAAAAUCCCUCCACACCCUUCUCCUCUGCCAUUAUUAUUAUUAUUAUUAUUAUUAUUAUUAUUAUUAACAUGCCACCCAUUUGACUGGGUUGCCCCAGACACUCUGGGUGGCUCCCAACAAAAUAUUAAAAACACAGUAAAACAUCAACCAUUAAAAGCUUCCCCAUACAGAUGACUUCUAAAAGUCAAUAGUUGCUUAUUUCCUUGACAUCUGAUGGGAGGUCUGGUUCCCUGUAACCUCACUUCUCGCAGUGAGGGAACCGCCAGAAGGCCCUCAGAGCUGGACCUCAGUGUCCUGACUGAUCAAUGGGGUGAAGACACUCCUUCUCCAACCCUUAAUGUUUAUUCAACAUUCUGUGCUCAAAGAGCAGGCUCAGCCCCAUUGAGUUGUGUCGAGUGCGCGGUAAAAUCAGUAAUGAUUCAAUGGGCCAGGGAUUUUGGGUAUAAUAUACAAUUUGAUGAGUGGAAUAAAUUAUGGAAUGAAAGGAUAAAAUUUACAGCCUGUACUGCACUGAAAGAAAAUGUGAUGAAGAUGGUUUAUAGAUGGUAUAUCACUCCAGUAAAACUAGCAAAAAUGUAUAAAGUAAGUAAUAAAUGUUGGAAAUGUAAAGAAAAAGAAGGAAUAUUUUUCCAUAUGUGGUGGGAGUGUAAUAAGGUUAAAGUAUUCUGGGAACAGAUAUAUAAUGAGUUGAAAAAGAUGUUGAAAUAUACAUUUGCUAAAAAACUAGAAGCUUUUUUGUUAGGAAUGGUUGGAAAUGAAAUAAAUAGAAAAGAUCAGAAAUUAUUUCGAUAUGCAGUGACGGCAGCAAGGAUACUACUGGCCCAAAAAUGGAAACAGGAGGAACUACCAUCUAUAGAAGAGUGGAGGAUGAAAUUAACAGACUACGCAGAACUAGAUAAAUUAACAGGGAAAGUCCGAAACCAACAAGAUCACAAGUUCACUGAGGACUGGAGUAAAUUUGUGGAUUAUAUGAAAAGCAUAUGUGAUGAACAAAUAACGUUUGUGGGUUUACAGGAAGCUUUGUGAAGAAAUAUGUAUAGAAACAUUGUAAAAAAGGAAGAGGGGGAGUAGGUAGAUUUUAAGAUAAAAGACAAUGACAAAUUUUGAACUUGCAGUAUAAAGACGAGAACACGGAG